GAUGAACGCUGGCGGCGUGCCUAAUACAUGCAAGUCGAGCGAACAGACGAGGAGCUUGCUCCUCUGACGUUAGCGGCGGACGGGUGAGUAACACGUGGAUAACCUACCUAUAAGACUGGGAUAACUUCGGGAAACCGGCGCUAAUACCGGAUAAUAUAUUGAACCGCAUGGUUCAAUAGUGAAAGACGGUUUUGCUGUCACUUAUAGAUGGAUCCGCGCCGCAUUAGCUAGUUGGUAAGGUAACGGCUUACCAAGGCAACGAUGCGUAGCCGACCUGAGAGGGUGAUCGGCCACACUGGAACUGAGACACGGUCCAGACUCCUACGGGAGGCAGCAGUAGGGAAUCUUCCGCAAUGGGCGAAAGCUUGACGGAGCAACGCCGCGUGAGUGAUGAAGGUCUUCGGAUCGUAAAACUCUGUUAUUAGGGAAGAACAAAUGUGUAAGUAACUAUGCACGUCUUGACGGUACCUAGUCAGAAAGCCACGGCUAACUACGUG
RNAcentral lists this ribosomal RNA (497 nucleotides) under uncultured bacterium. RNAcentral's name for it is "partial 16S ribosomal RNA". It matches the Rfam family "Bacterial small subunit ribosomal RNA", at positions 28 to 507 of the family's 1533-position model. The record is from RNAcentral.